CAAUAGCGUAUAUUUAAGUUGUUGCAGUUAAAAAGCUCGUAGUUGGAUUUCGGGUAGGAUUUGCCGGUCCGUCUUUGAGAUGUGUACUGGUAAGUCCUAUCUUCUUGUCGGGGACCAGCUCCUGGGCUUCACUGUCCGGGACUGGGAGCCGACGAAGUUACUUUGAGUAAAUUAGAGUGUCCAAAGCAAGCCUACGCUCUGAAUAUAUUAGCAUGGAAUAACACGAUAGGACUCUGGCUUAUCUUGUUGGUCUGUGAGACCAGAGUAAUGAUUAAGAGGGACAGUCGGGGACAUUCGUAUUUCAUUGUCAGAGGUGAAAUUCUUAGAUUUAUGAAAGACGAACUUCUGCGAAAGCAUUUGUCAAGGAUGUUUUCAUUAA
RNAcentral lists this ribosomal RNA (379 nucleotides) under uncultured eukaryote. RNAcentral's name for it is "partial 18S ribosomal RNA". It matches the Rfam family "Eukaryotic small subunit ribosomal RNA", at positions 592 to 976 of the family's 1831-position model. The record is from RNAcentral.